AUUGAACGCUGGCGGCAUGCUUUACACAUGCAAGUCGAACGGUAACAGGCCGCAAGGUGCUGACGAGUGGCGAACGGGUGAGUAAUGCAUCGGAACGUGCCCAGUCGUGGGGGAUAACGCAGCGAAAGCUGUGCUAAUACCGCAUACGAUCUAUGGAUGAAAGCGGGGGACCGUAAGGACUCGCGCGAUUGGAGCGGCCGAGGUCAGAUUAGGUAGUUGGUGGGGUAAAGGUUCAACAAGCCAACGAUCGGUAGCUGGUCUGAGAGGACGAACAGCGACACUGGGUCAGAGACGCGGCCCAGAAUCAUACGGGAGGCAGCAGUGGGGAAUUUUGGGCAAUGGGCCCAAGCCUGAUCCAGCGAUGCCGCGUGCAGGAAGAAGUCCUUUGGGUUGUAAACUGCUUAUGUACGGAACGAAAAGGUGUGGGUUAAUCCCCUGGGCCGAUGACGGUACCGUAAGAAUAAGCACCGGCUAACUACGUGCCAGCCGCCGCCGUAA
RNAcentral lists this ribosomal RNA (498 nucleotides) under uncultured bacterium. RNAcentral's name for it is "partial 16S ribosomal RNA". It matches the Rfam family "Bacterial small subunit ribosomal RNA", at positions 29 to 523 of the family's 1533-position model. The record is from RNAcentral.